RNAcentral lists this ribosomal RNA (1439 nucleotides) under uncultured bacterium. RNAcentral describes it as "bacterial SSU rRNA". It matches the Rfam family "Bacterial small subunit ribosomal RNA". The record is from RNAcentral.
AGGGUUUGAUCAUGGCUCAGAACGUACGCUGGCGGCACGCCUAAUACAUGCAAGUCGAACGAAGUAGCAAUACUUAGUGGCAGACGGGUGAGUAACAUGUAGGUAUCUUCCCAUUGGUGAGGAAUAACACGAGGAAACUUGUGCUAAUACCUCAUAAGUCUUUACGGAGAAAGCUUUAUGCGCCGAUGGAUGAGCCUGCACUUGAUUAGUUUGUUGGUAGGGUAAUGGCCUACCAAGACAAUGAUCAAUAGCUGAUUUGAGAGGAUGAUCAGCCACAUUGGGACUGAGACACGGCCCAAACUCCUACGGGAGGCAGCAGUAGGGAAUCUUGCACAAUGGGGGAAACCCUGAUGCAGCGAUGCCGCGUGAGUGAAGAAGGCCUUUGGGUUGUAAAGCUCUUUCGUCGGGGAAGAAAAUGACUGUACCCGAAUAAGAAGGUCCGGCUAACUUCGUGCCAGCAGCCGCGGUAAUACGAAGGGACCUAGCGUAGUUCGGAAUUACUGGGCUUAAAGAGUUCGUAGGUGGUUAAAAAAGUUGGUGGUGAAAUCCCAGAGCUUAACUCUGGAACUGCCAUCAAAACUUUUUAGCUAGAGUAUGAUAGAGGAAAGCAGAAUUUCUAGUGUAGAGGUGAAAUUCGUAGAUAUUAGAAAGAAUACCAAUUGCGAAGGCAGCUUUCUGGAUCAUUACUGACACUGAGGAACGAAAGCAUGGGUAGCGAAGAGGAUUAGAUACCCUCGUAGUCCAUGCCGUAAACGAUGUGUGUUAGACGUUGGAAAUUUAUUUUCUGUGUCGCAGCGAAAGCAAUAAACACACCGCCUGGGGAGUACGACCGCAAGGUUAAAACUCAAAUGAAUUGACGGGGACCCGCACAAGUAGUGGAGCAUGUGGUUUAAUUCGAAGAUACGCGCAGAACCUUACCAACACUUGACAUGUUCGUCGCGACUUUAAGAGAUUAAAGUUUUCGGUUCGGCCGGACGAAACACAGGUGCUGCAUGGCUGUCGUCAGCUCGUGUCGUGAGAUGUUGGGUUAAGUCCCGCAACGAGCGCAACCCUCACUUUUAGUUGCCAUCAUUUAGUUGGGCACUCUGAAAGAACUGCCAGUGAUAAGCUGGAGGAAGGUGGGGAUGACGUCAAGUCCUCAUGGCCCUUACGUGUUGGGCUACACACGUGCUACAAUGGCAUUUACAAUAGGAAGCAAGACGGCGACGUUAAGCAAAUCCUAAAAAAAUGCCUCAGUUCGGAUUGUACUCUGCAACUCGAGUACAUGAAGCUGGAAUUACUAGUAAUCGCGGAUCAGCGCGCCGCGGUGAAUACGUUCCCGGGUCUUGUACACACCGCCCGUCACACCAUGGGAGUUGGUUCUACCUUAAGGCAAAGUUUAAUACCUUUGACCACGGUAUAGUCAGCGACUGGGGUGAAGUCAUAACAAGGUAGCCGUA